Molecule: ribosomal RNA, 1185 nt
Filed under: Enterococcus faecium
Lineage: Bacteria; Bacillati; Bacillota; Bacilli; Lactobacillales; Enterococcaceae
Description: bacterial SSU rRNA
Rfam family: Bacterial small subunit ribosomal RNA
Source: RNAcentral
GGGAUAAUACUUGGAAACAGGUGCUAAUACCGUAUAACAAUCGAAACCGCAUGGUUUUGAUUUGAAAGGCGCUUUCGGGUGUCGCUGAUGGAUGGACCCGCGGUGCAUUAGCUAGUUGGUGAGGUAACGGCUCACCAAGGCCACGAUGCAUAGCCGACCUGAGAGGGUGAUCGGCCACAUUGGGACUGAGACACGGCCCAAACUCCUACGGGAGGCAGCAGUAGGGAAUCUUCGGCAAUGGACGAAAGUCUGACCGAGCAACGCCGCGUGAGUGAAGAAGGUUUUCGGAUCGUAAAACUCUGUUGUUAGAGAAGAACAAGGAUGAGAGUAACUGUUCAUCCCUUGACGGUAUCUAACCAGAAAGCCACGGCUAACUACGUGCCAGCAGCCGCGGUAAUACGUAGGUGGCAAGCGUUGUCCGGAUUUAUUGGGCGUAAAGCGAGCGCAGGCGGUUUCUUAAGUCUGAUGUGAAAGCCCCCGGCUCAACCGGGGAGGGUCAUUGGAAACUGGGAGACUUGAGUGCAGAAGAGGAGAGUGGAAUUCCAUGUGUAGCGGUGAAAUGCGUAGAUAUAUGGAGGAACACCAGGGGCGAAGGCGGCUCUCUGGUCUGUAACUGACGCUGAGGCUCGAAAGCGUGGGGAGCAAACAGGAUUAGAUACCCUGGUAGUCCACGCCGUAAACGAUGAGUGCUAAGUGUUGGAGGGUUUCCGCCCUUCAGUGCUGCAGCUAACGCAUUAAGCACUCCGCCUGGGGAGUACGACCGCAAGGUUGAAACUCAAAGGAAUUGACGGGGGCCCGCACAAGCGGUGGAGCAUGUGGUUUAAUUCGAAGCAACGCGAAGAACCUUACCAGGUCUUGACAUCCUUUGACCACUCUAGAGAUAGAGCUUCCCCUUCGGGGGCAAAGUGACAGGUGGUGCAUGGUUGUCGUCAGCUCGUGUCGUGAGAUGUUGGGUUAAGUCCCGCAACGAGCGCAACCCUUAUUGUUAGUUGCCAUCAUUCAGUUGGGCACUCUAGCAAGACUGCCGGUGACAAACCGGAGGAAGGUGGGGAUGACGUCAAAUCAUCAUGCCCCUUAUGACCUGGGCUACACACGUGCUACAAUGGGAAGUACAACGAGUUGCGAAGUCGCGAGGCUAAGCUAAUCUCUUAAAGCUUCUCUCAGUUCGGAUUGCAGGCUGCAACU